This is a long non-coding RNA of Gossypium arboreum, 660 nucleotides long. RefSeq lists it as uncharacterized. The record is from RefSeq and is a predicted model, not a curated record. Lineage: Eukaryota; Viridiplantae; Streptophyta; Magnoliopsida; Malvales; Malvaceae. The transcript has 2 exons.
GGUAAAUGUUUCAUGAUAAUGGGUUAGGUAAAUGUUUCAUGAUAAGAAUUUCAUGUCUUUUGUAUUAAAGAAUUAAAUGGAUGAAAUAUGAAGUUUUAUUAAAAGAAAAAGGGGUGAAAAGAACAAAGUUUUGUCCAUCUUUGUUCAUCAUAGCUGAAAGUUAGAAGAGAGAAAGGAGAGGAGAAAGCUCUUGAGUAUUCGGUCAUUAGGAGGAGGAAAAUUGAAGGCGGUUCGUGUGUGGAUCUCGUCAGCAUAUCGUCGCAAACAGGUGUGUAACUGACACCCUCUUAUAGACUAGAUUGGCAAAAGCCGAAAUGCCGAAAAGUCAGUAUUUUGGGAAUUUGCGAGUGUGCGAAUGCUCGUAAGAUAGUUGGGUUUGUAUAUUUGGUAAUCUAAAGUAAUAAACUGCAGUACGCGCGAUUUCGUACAUUUUGAUCAUUUGGGCUUAAUGGGCCAAAGAUCGGGUUCAUGGGCCAACAGGCCCAAUUCAGUAAGUAUGUGCGGUAAGUGUUCUGAUAGUACGUAAAUAGUUAGGAUAUGCAUGAAAACCAUAAAAGAAGCUAAAUUACUAUAAUACCCCUAUGUAUGGAAAAUUACUGUUAUACCCCUAGGUGCAAAAUUACCGUUAUACCCCUAGGGUUAAUUUUGACUGAAAAGCAU